Molecule: long non-coding RNA, 120 nt
Filed under: Nannospalax galili (Upper Galilee mountains blind mole rat)
Lineage: Eukaryota; Metazoa; Chordata; Mammalia; Rodentia; Spalacidae
Description: Rhabdomyosarcoma 2 associated transcript conserved region 5 (ENSNGAG00000003924.1)
Rfam family: Rhabdomyosarcoma 2 associated transcript conserved region 5
Source: RNAcentral
UGGCAGCUGAAGGACAGAAAUAAGACUGCCUGACUACAUUUCCCCAGUGCCACCAACUGGGAGAUAAGCUGACUAACUUUUUGAAAGCCCAGCCCAUUUCAUUCACAGCAGGAUGGCAGG